UGUGCAGUACUUCGGUCAAUAGUUUCCUGUCGUUGUCAUCCAUGUUAAAAGGGCAGAGUUUACUGGUGGAUAAAAACAGGGACCUCUCCCACCAGCUGCUGGUUUCCCCUCCGGAGCAAACCACACUGUUCCUGCGGCAUUUGGAACAGUCCCCACCGUAACACCUGACCGUUGCAUCCACAACCCUGGAUGCCAAUGUGACACCCUUUGAUGUUACUGUGCAGAGUAAUAACCUGCUGUGAGACAACAGCAAUGGUGCAGGGAGGUUUUUGCAUGAUAAACAUCUUGUCUUUCCAAAACAGUUGACCUGAUGGAGAUAUCUCGAACGGUAUAUGCACUGCAAAGCUUCAAAGUUUACCCUUCAGAGUUUUUUCACCCUGGAAAAAAGACACAUGUCCAAGAUGGGGGUACCCCAACUUGAAUUCAUUCAACUCCAAAGUUUCUGCAUGUAUCAAGCCCUAAUUUUGCCUGUGAGGUUCAGAAGUGUCAGGAAUUCUGUGGUGCAAAAAUUAUUGAUUUUGAAAAAAGGUGGCUGGUGUGAUAGGACACAGACCCCCAUUACAACUUCCGUUUUUCGGUAGGGACGAUUGUAGUUCUGUGAAUUUUAGGGUAUAAAGUCUUUUUUUGCUCCCAGGCGUCCAUUUUUGGUGCACAGGUGCAUGCUUGGUAUUAAAAUGCUGGAAACUGUCUAAACUUUGAGGAGGUAUGAGCUUUAUUGAUGAAAGUUUGAAAUUCUGGGCGAGAGGACACAAGGUGUGAGGUAGUGAUGAGGCUGCGAGUGACGUCCCCUUGGCGUUGCUAGGCACGCCUCCCAGCUGCCGGCAUGGAAAGGUCCAGAUUUUGACGGUCAACCUAUGUCAAGAUUUUUAUGGCUUCUUUCUCACAGGCUGGGCCAGGUAUGCACCAAAGCUUAAUGGCCACGGAAUGUUUGGGACUGAGCUACAGCGCUAGACGUUAACAUUGUCGCUUAUGGAAAAUUAAU
Molecule: long non-coding RNA, 982 nt
Organism: Liolophura sinensis
Lineage: Eukaryota; Metazoa; Mollusca; Polyplacophora; Chitonida; Chitonidae
Exons: 3
Source: RefSeq, a predicted model, not a curated record